AGGAAACCAAUGUAAUUGAUUGCUCCUUUUAUUCUUUUUGGGAAUGUAAUAAUUAAUUUUAUUAUAUACAAGGGUUGUAUUAUAAAGUAGUUAUAAUUCCUAAUGGUUGUAAAUUCAUUUAUUUGGGCAUGAGCUCAUUUCCAUUGUAAUUUUUUCCUUGGUAUGCCAAGGAUACAUUAUGUAAAUGGCAUUGGUGGAAUCUUCAUGAAAAAAGGAGGCCAAAUUAGAGGGAGCACAAGACUUCAAGUUUUGAAGACUUUUGCUCAUUAGUAUAUGGAUGGAUGACAACCUACGAUGCCCUAAACUCUAGUCCUAAUGGUUAGGACUAGAGUCCCAUAGAAUACUCCAUGAUCAAGCUUUUUACAUUACCAUUUGUGGAUGAAUGUAUGUUUUAUAAAUGUAUGCUUAUCAAAUGUAUAUGAAAUAUGCGUGAAAACUGUUAAUGCACAAAGUGGGACAUAAUAGUAAUUAAGUUGACUAAGGAAUCUUCCAACCAAAAUGAUUUAGUUGAAAAUGGUGUUGGAAAUUUUUAUGGCUCUCGACUAUGGCAAUCACUUAGGAAGGUUAAACAUUUACACUAUUGGUUAUGGUUACAUGGGGAUAGUGUUUAUGGUUUAGCAAAUCUUCUUAAGCUAAUUGUUAAGAACAAGAUUUUAUGGGUAUACAAACACUUAUAAUGGCCAAUAACAACAAAUAUGAGUACCUGAGGUAAUUAUAGUUCAAGUUUAUAUGUUCAUUAACUUAGGGGGUCCAACAUAACUAAUGCAAGAUAGACUAAUAAUGGCAAUGUGUAUCUAAGGUUUUGAGCAUUAGGAGCCAAACAUGAUUGUGCCUCACAAACAUGAUUGUGCCUCACAUGAGAUAUGAUGAGUAAAGAGUUGCUCUCUUGUAAAUUAUUAUUAGUCUAGUAACAACAUUAAUUAUUUGAGGAUGAAUAAUAGUUUAUAAGAAUUCAAUCACCCACUUAAAAUCCAUCCCAAUUAGGAUAUUUGUUUUCAACUUUGGAAGUAUAGGAUUUGCCUAAUAAAUAGGAGGAUCAAUUUGAUUAAAAGACCAUGAUUAUUUUAGUUAAUUACUUAAUAUAAAAUGCUAAUUGGAAUCUUGUAAUUUUUUAUAGUUUAAUCUAAUAAUAAUG
RNAcentral lists this unclassified non-coding RNA (1135 nucleotides) under Hevea brasiliensis (rubber tree). The record is from RNAcentral. Lineage: Eukaryota; Viridiplantae; Streptophyta; Magnoliopsida; Malpighiales; Euphorbiaceae.